RNAcentral lists this ribosomal RNA (460 nucleotides) under uncultured bacterium. RNAcentral describes it as "partial 16S ribosomal RNA". It matches the Rfam family "Bacterial small subunit ribosomal RNA", at positions 338 to 795 of the family's 1533-position model. The record is from RNAcentral.
CCUACGGGAGGCAGCAGUGAGGAAUAUUGGUCAAUGGACGCAAGUCUGAACCAGCCAUGCCGCGUGCAGGAAGACGGCUCUAUGAGUUGUAAACUGCUUUUGUACGAGGGUAAACGCAGAUACGCGUAUCUGUCUGAAAGUAUCGUACGAAUAAGGAUCGGCUAACUCCGUUCCAGCAGCCGCGGUAAUACGGAGGAUUCAAGCGUUAUCCGGAUUUAUUGGGUUUAAAGGGUGCGUAGGCGGUCGGAUAAGUUAGAGGUGAAAUCCCGGGGCUCAACUUUGGAAUUGCCUCUGAUACUGUCCGGCUAGAGAGUAGUUGCGGGAGGCGGAAUGUAAGGUGUAGCGGUGAAAUGCGUAGAGAUCAUACAGAACACCGAUUGCGAAGGCAGCUUACCAAGCUACGUCUGACGUUGAGGCACGAAAGCGUGGGGAGCAAACAGGAUUAGAUACCCGAGUAGUC